GACGAACGCUGGCGGCGUGCCUAAUACAUGCAAGUCGAGCGGAUUGAUGGGAGCUUGCUCCCUGAUAUCAGCGGCGGACGGGUGAGUAACACGUGGGCAACCUGCCUAUAAGACUGGGAUAACUUCGGGAAACCGGAGCUAAUACCGGAUAAUCCCUUUCCUCUCAUGAGGAAAGGCUGAAAGAAGGUUUACGCUAUCACUUAUAGAUGGGCCCGCGGCGCAUUAGCUAGUUGGUAAGGUAACGGCUCACCAAGGCAACGAUGCGUAGCCGACCGGAGAGGGUGAUCGGCCACACUGGGACUGAGACACGGCCCAGACUCCUACGGGAGGCAGCAGUAGGGAAUCUUCCGCAAUGGACGAAAGUCUGACGGAGCAACGCCGCGUGAGUGAUGAAGGUUUUCGGAUCGUAAAACUCUGUUGUUAGGGAAGAACAAGUACGAGAGUAACUGCUCGUACCUUGACGGUACCUAACCAGAAAGCCACGGCUAACUACGUGCCAGCCGCCGCAGUAA
Molecule: ribosomal RNA, 512 nt
Filed under: uncultured bacterium
Lineage: Bacteria
Description: partial 16S ribosomal RNA
Rfam family: Bacterial small subunit ribosomal RNA
Source: RNAcentral